AUGAUUCUCGCCCGAACCACCGUAUGCAUUGCCUGUAGAGAUUUUUCACUAUUCACCCACGUCUUCAUCCCACCUCAGCUUGCUGCCACGCGCUCACCUCCCCCGCGCCUUCGCCCCCACCAUCCCCAAGUAGCACUUCCUGACCCCCAAUUCAGACCUCAUCGGUGGCCGCGGCUCCAGGGAUGGCGUCGCGAUGGUAUGAGGAGCUACGCUUGGAUCUGCUCCCUAGCCGAAUCUGCUCCAUGGCUCAUCCAGCUGAGUAAUUUGAUUGUCGCAUUCUUGCUUGAGAGGUUAUCUCGUUCCCGAGGGGAACGACGUUUGAGCGGCCGCCGCCGGAUUUAG
RNAcentral lists this ribosomal RNA (342 nucleotides) under Triticum aestivum (bread wheat). RNAcentral's name for it is "partial small subunit ribosomal RNA". Lineage: Eukaryota; Viridiplantae; Streptophyta; Magnoliopsida; Poales; Poaceae. The record is from RNAcentral.